GACGAACGCUGGCGGCGUGCUUAACACAUGCAAGUCGAACGGUGAACGAGGGAGCUUGCUCCCUCCGGAUCAGUGGCGAACGGGUGAGUAACACGUGAGCAAUCUGCCCCGAACUCUGGGAUAAGCGUUGGAAACGACUUCUAAUACCGGAUACGACUCGGGAGGGCAUCCUCUCCGCGUGGAAAGAACUUCGGUUCGGGAUGAGCUCGCGGCCUAUCAGCUUGUUGGUGAGGUAACGGCUCACCAAGGCGACGACGGGUAGCCGGCCUGAGAGGGUGACCGGCCACACUGGGACUGAGACACGGCCCAGACUCCUACGGGAGGCAGCAGUGGGGAAUAUUGCACAAUGGGCGCAAGCCUGAUGCAGCAACGCCGCGUGAGGGACGACGGCCUUCGGGUUGUAAACCUCUUUUAGCAGGGAAGAAGCGAAAGUGACGGUACCUGCAGAAAAAGCACCGGCUAACUACGUG
This 470-nucleotide ribosomal RNA is filed under the name uncultured bacterium. RNAcentral describes it as "partial 16S ribosomal RNA". It matches the Rfam family "Bacterial small subunit ribosomal RNA", at positions 28 to 507 of the family's 1533-position model. The record is from RNAcentral.